This 423-nucleotide ribosomal RNA is filed under the name uncultured bacterium. RNAcentral describes it as "partial 16S ribosomal RNA". It matches the Rfam family "Bacterial small subunit ribosomal RNA", at positions 360 to 775 of the family's 1533-position model. The record is from RNAcentral.
AAUUUUGGACAAUGGGGGAAACCUUUAUCCUGCCAUCUCGCGUGUAUGAUGAAGUCCUUCGGGUUGUAAAGUACUUUUGGCAGAUACGAAAAGGUACUUCCUAAUACUAGGUACUGCUGACGGUAUCUGCAGAAUAAGCACCGGCUAACUACGUUCCAGCAGCCGCGGUAAUACUUAGGGUGCAAGCGUUAAUCGGAAUUACUGGGAGUAAAGCGUGUGUAGGCGGUUCGGAAAGAAAGAUGUGAAAUCCAAGGGCUCAAACUUGGAACUGCAUUUUUAACUGCCGAGCUAGAGUAUGUCAGAGGGGGGUAGAAUUCCACGUGUAGCAGUGAAAUGCGUAGAUAUGUGGAGGAAUACCGAUGGCGAAGGCAGCCCCCUGGGAUAAUACUGACGCUCAGACACGAAAGCGUGGGGAGCAAACAG